UGCAAGUCGAACGGUAGCACAGAGAGCUUGCUCUCGGGUGACGAGUGGCGGACGGGUGAGUAAUGUCUGGGAAACUGCCUGAUGGAGGGGGAUAACUACUGGAAACGGUAGCUAAUACCGCAUAACGUCGCAAGACCAAAGAGGGGGACCUUCGGGCCUCUUGCCAUCAGAUGUGCCCAGAUGGGAUUAGCUAGUAGGUGGGGUAACGGCUCACCUAGGCGACGAUCCCUAGCUGGUCUGAGAGGAUGACCAGCCACACUGGAACUGAGACACGGUCCAGACUCCUACGGGAGGCAGCAGUGGGGAAUAUUGCACAAUGGGCGCAAGCCUGAUGCAGCCAUGCCGCGUGUAUGAAGAAGGCCUUCGGGUUG
RNAcentral lists this ribosomal RNA (371 nucleotides) under Klebsiella sp. Cma3. Its description in RNAcentral is "bacterial SSU rRNA". It matches the Rfam family "Bacterial small subunit ribosomal RNA", at positions 56 to 425 of the family's 1533-position model. The record is from RNAcentral. Lineage: Bacteria; Pseudomonadati; Pseudomonadota; Gammaproteobacteria; Enterobacterales; Enterobacteriaceae.